RNAcentral lists this ribosomal RNA (843 nucleotides) under bacterium LGM93. RNAcentral describes it as "bacterial SSU rRNA". It matches the Rfam family "Bacterial small subunit ribosomal RNA", at positions 53 to 866 of the family's 1533-position model. The record is from RNAcentral.
ACAUGCAAGUCGAACGCUUCUUUUUCCACCGGAGCUUGCUCCACCGGAAAAAGAGGAGUGGCGAACGGGUGAGUAACACGUGGGUAACCUGCCCAUCAGAAGGGGAUAACACUUGGAAACAGGUGCUAAUACCGUAUAACAAUCAAAACCGCAUGGUUUUGAUUUGAAAGGCGCUUUCGGGUGUCGCUGAUGGAUGGACCCGCGGUGCAUUAGCUAGUUGGUGAGGUAACGGCUCACCAAGGCCACGAUGCAUAGCCGACCUGAGAGGGUGAUCGGCCACAUUGGGACUGAGACACGGCCCAAACUCCUACGGGAGGCAGCAGUAGGGAAUCUUCGGCAAUGGACGAAAGUCUGACCGAGCAACGCCGCGUGAGUGAAGAAGGUUUUCGGAUCGUAAAACUCUGUUGUUAGAGAAGAACAAGGAUGAGAGUAACUGUUCAUCCCUUGACGGUAUCUAACCAGAAAGCCACGGCUAACUACGUGCCAGCAGCCGCGGUAAUACGUAGGUGGCAAGCGUUGUCCGGAUUUAUUGGGCGUAAAGCGAGCGCAGGCGGUUUCUUAAGUCUGAUGUGAAAGCCCCCGGCUCAACCGGGGAGGGUCAUUGGAAACUGGGAGACUUGAGUGCAGAAGAGGAGAGUGGAAUUCCAUGUGUAGCGGUGAAAUGCGUAGAUAUAUGGAGGAACACCAGUGGCGAAGGCGGCUCUCUGGUCUGUAACUGACGCUGAGGCUCGAAAGCGUGGGGAGCAAACAGGAUUAGAUACCCUGGUAGUCCACGCCGUAAACGAUGAGUGCUAAGUGUUGGAGGGUUUCCGCCCUUCAGUGCUGCAGCUAACGCAUUAAGCA